GUAGGUGGCAAGCGUUGUCCGGAAUUAUUGGGGCGUAAAGCGCGCGCAGGCGGUUCUUUAAGUCUGAUGUGAAAGCCCACGGGCUCAACCGUGGAGGGUCAUUGGAAACUGGAGAACUUGAGUACAGAAGAGGAAAGCGGAAUUCCACGUGUAGCGGUGAAAUGCGUAGAGAUGUGGAGGAACACCAGUGGCGAAGGCGGCUUUCUGGUCUGUAACUGACGCUGAGGCGCGAAAGCGUGGGGAGCAAACAGGAUUAGAUACCCUGGUAGUCCACGCCGUAAACGAUGAGUGCUAAGUGUUAGGGGUUUCCGCCCCUUAGUGCUGCAGCUAACGCAUUAAGCACUCCGCCUGGGGAGUACGGCCGCAAAGGCUG
This 373-nucleotide ribosomal RNA is filed under the name uncultured organism. RNAcentral describes it as "partial 16S ribosomal RNA". It matches the Rfam family "Bacterial small subunit ribosomal RNA", at positions 527 to 896 of the family's 1533-position model. The record is from RNAcentral.